RNAcentral lists this ribosomal RNA (1406 nucleotides) under Arthrobacter luteolus. Its description in RNAcentral is "bacterial SSU rRNA". It matches the Rfam family "Bacterial small subunit ribosomal RNA". The record is from RNAcentral. Lineage: Bacteria; Bacillati; Actinomycetota; Actinomycetes; Micrococcales; Micrococcaceae.
GAUGCCGGUAUUUCUAUCCGUUCAGGCAACGAACAGGGCUUAGUUGAUAGGCUCAGGAUGAACGCUGGCGGCGUGCUUAACACAUGCAAGUCGAACGAUGACUUCUGUGCUUGCACAGAAUGAUUAGUGGCGAACGGGUGAGUAACACGUGAGUAACCUGCCCUUAACUUCGGGAUAAGCCUGGGAAACCGGGUCUAAUACCGGAUACGACCUCCUGGCGCAUGCCAUGGUGGUGGAAAGCUUUAGCGGUUUUGGAUGGACUCGCGGCCUAUCAGCUUGUUGGUUGGGGUAAUGGCCCACCAAGGCGACGACGGGUAGCCGGCCUGAGAGGGUGACCGGCCACACUGGGACUGAGACACGGCCCAGACUCCUACGGGAGGCAGCAGUGGGGAAUAUUGCACAAUGGGCGAAAGCCUGAUGCAGCGACGCCGCGUGAGGGAUGACGGCCUUCGGGUUGUAAACCUCUUUCAGCAGGGAAGAAGCGAAAGUGACGGUACCUGCAGAAGAAGCGCCGGCUAACUACGUGCCAGCAGCCGCGGUAAUACGUAGGGCGCAAGCGUUAUCCGGAAUUAUUGGGCGUAAAGAGCUCGUAGGCGGUUUGUCGCGUCUGCUGUGAAAGCCCGGGGCUCAACCCCGGGUCUGCAGUGGGUACGGGCAGACUAGAGUGCAGUAGGGGAGACUGGAAUUCCUGGUGUAGCGGUGAAAUGCGCAGAUAUCAGGAGGAACACCGAUGGCGAAGGCAGGUCUCUGGGCUGUAACUGACGCUGAGGAGCGAAAGCAUGGGGAGCGACAGGAUUAGAUACCCUGGUAGUCCAUGCCGUAAACGUUGGGCACUAGGUGUGGGGGACAUUCCACGUUUUCCGCGCCGUAGCUAACGCAUUAAGUGCCCCGCCUGGGGAGUACGGCCGCAAGGCUAAAACUCAAAGGAAUUGACGGGGGCCCGCACAAGCGGCGGAGCAUGCGGAUUAAUUCGAUGCAACGCGAAGAACCUUACCAAGGCUUGACAUGAACCGGUAAGACCUGGAAACAGGUCCCCCACUUGUGGCCGGUUUACAGGUGGUGCAUGGUUGUCGUCAGCUCGUGUCGUGAGAUGUUGGGUUAAGUCCCGCAACGAGCGCAACCCUCGUUCUAUGUUGCCAGCGGGUUAUGCCGGGGACUCAUAGGAGACUGCCGGGGUCAACUCGGAGGAAGGUGGGGACGACGUCAAAUCAUCAUGCCCCUUAUGUCUUGGGCUUCACGCAUGCUACAAUGGCCGGUACAAAGGGUUGCGAUACUGUGAGGUGGAGCUAAUCCCAAAAAGCCGGUCUCAGUUCGGAUUGAGGUCUGCAACUCGACCUCAUGAAGUUGGAGUCGCUAGUAAUCGCAGAUCAGCAACGCUGCGGUGAAUACGUUCCCGGGCCUUGUAC